This 100-nucleotide microRNA precursor is filed under the name Schmidtea mediterranea. RNAcentral's name for it is "microRNA sme-mir-71b precursor". Its record names the gene sme-mir-71b. The record is from miRBase by way of RNAcentral. Lineage: Eukaryota; Metazoa; Platyhelminthes; Tricladida; Dugesiidae.
UGAUUCAGUACUCUUUGAAAGACACAGGUAGUGGGACAGAUAUUAUCUAAUAAAAGCUUGUCCUUCUAAUGUGUUUUUCGAAAACCAUUGAAUCAAUCAU